Molecule: long non-coding RNA, 2709 nt
Filed under: Gallus gallus (chicken)
Lineage: Eukaryota; Metazoa; Chordata; Aves; Galliformes; Phasianidae
Description: long non-coding RNA NONGGAT004553
Source: RNAcentral
GGCCAAAUUAAUGAAAGCUAGGUUAUGCAGAUAUCUGACAGAGAAAACUGGUACUCCAAGAAGAGUUGUUUGUGUUCUGGCUACUAUCAGUCUGUAUUUUUUAGGGAUGAGUUAUAUUUAGACGUCGAAAAUGGAUGAUGAGUUGGUGCUGCUGUCACCAACAGUCUGCUCUACAUGGGCACUAACAGGAACUAUCUUAGCAAUCUCCCUUUAUACCUCUGCCAACAUCUUCUCUGAGGCAUUUGCAUCUGUUGAACUACAAGAGAGAUUAGCGUGGAGAAAAUGUGUCCUAAUACUUCCACAUCUCCAAGAAUUACUCUUUCUUCCUUACUGUGAUAACUGACUGUCCAGAGACCAAGGAAAUGCUUUCCAUGAUGAUUUUCCGAAGCAGAGGAGUUCAUGUUAGAUCUGUUUUUCAUGUCAGAUUGUGAGUGAAACCUGGGUGAAAAAAAGAAAGGGAAUAAUGUCUGACAAAAAAGAAAAAAAAGUGUUGUUAACCUACCUGACUCACCUUCCUCCCUGGACAUGUGUAGCUGCCUUUCUGCUCUCUGAUUGAAUGGGCUGCCUGAAUUGCAAGAUGAUAUUCUGCUUGAAAGCCUUUUUCUGACCUUCUGAGAUUGCUAGAAAUACUGAUGUGUGUGACACAGUUUUGGUUAUCAAACUGUUUCCUGGCAUCCAAGACUCAGGUCAGUGAAACCAAGGCACAAAGCAGCCAGCAGUGUGAUGCCUUUAUCUCUUGAUGCUUAUCACUGUGAGGACAAGCCUAGAAUCCCUCAGCUUGACUUUAGGGUGGGAGAGAAGCAGAACUCUGUUGGCAGUCUUUCUCUGAAGUGCAGUGACUCUGAGUGCAAGAUGGUGUAAGAGAGAUCAGGAUCUGGGCUUUCCAGUAUGAACUGCUUGCUACAGGUGAUUGGGAAGUAGGGAAAGAGAUGCUGUUUUUAAAUUUAUGAAAAAAUUAAGGCAAAUCCUUAAACUGCUUGGGAAUAUGCCUUUAGCAAGCAAAAUCUGGAAUUGCCUUAAAUCUUAAGGAGAAGCCAGAAUUAAUUUUCUUUCCCUCCAGAAAGACCCAAGAAACCUGUCUAAACAUCUCCAUUUUUGUUAGCAGAGACUUAAUGUAGGUUAUUGCUACAUUGAACCUUCUUUAGAAAAUGGGAAAAAUAAGGACCCAAGUUAAUUGUAUGAUUAAACUGGGAAAUUUUCCAUUCUGGCAGUGUUCUGUUCAAUAACACUCAACUAUAAUGGUAGGCCUUAGCACAUCUGAUCUGAAAAACACAGGAAGAGGAAAUGCGUUGUUUAUCUGACUAAAUAUAGUUGGAUUGGAUGUCUUCUUUCCAUAAAAUGGUCAGAGAGGAUGGCUGAUAUAUAUUGGUGUGGAUUUUCAAGUGCUGUAAACAAUAUAGUUCCUUGUAUUCCAGUAGUUUUAACAGUAUUUGCAGCCCAUUGAGACCCCAUUGCGGAAUACAAAUCUGAAUUAAACGAGCUUUGGGUUGGAUAAUGAGAGAUGCAGGGUACUCAUAUUUCCUCUAGACUAGAUGCACAUUGUAAGCCUUUCAGUUGUGCUAAGGGUGAGAAGAAUCUGGGUGAGUUCAGACCUGAAAAUAUCAGUUGAAUGCACUUACUAUUACUUAUAAUCUGUUUUGUUUUAAAAGAAGAAUCCAUUAAUUACCAGUUUAUUUCAUGUUUACAGCAUGUAUGUAUUUGCACUGUGUACUGUGGGAGAGAGGGAAACACCUUCCAGAGGCCUCCUGCAUCAGAAAUGACAAGAAAAGCACUGGAAAGAGCUGUCAGCGUGCUGGUGGCUGACAGGCCGAACUGCUUUGUCUGUAACUUGUGGUCGUGACUGGUUGGAGCUCAAAACUGCUGGUAACUGUGCUGCCCAAUGUGGUGAAGGGGAAGCAAUUCUUGAAAAAGUCCAAGAUAACUGGUUAACUGUGAAUGGGCCUAAUCUUUCGUGCAACCAAGAAACUAUUUGGACACACACACAGGACUUGAAUACUCAAAAGGAUUGGAACUUAGUGUUGUGCCAAAGUUAAACUACUGCAGUUGGCAGAAGUUCUGCACUGUAAAUAGAAGACUGAUUAAAAGACAGCUUGUAAAAGAGAAAAAAAGAUCAAAUUUUAAUACACUACGUUUUUAUUCUGAUACGUGCCGGAAACAUUCUGUUUUAGACCUUUUUUGAAGAGGCUUCAGUGACCACUAGAUUUUGUCCUCUUAUAUUUUGUUUGGCCUAAUACUAUAUGUUCUAGUAAGAUGGGCUUUACUGCCUGUGUUCUUUGAUACGUGAUUAAGCUUAUAGCUUUGAGUGACCAAACAUUUUACAGAGUAAAAGUUCUUAGAAACAGUAUAAUGUAACUGAUAUUUCUGUGUCUUAUUUAUCAGGCUCUGCACAAACUUGGGAAGUUGUGCUGGACUUGUACAACUUACACGUGGGAACGCAGCAUACUGCUUGGUAUUACAGACCUAAGCCUUCGAGGCAGUACGGAUCUUGUCUUUGGAUUUAUUUUUGUUAUUCUUUUGAGGCAAAGAGAUGAACGGAUGCUGCUGUAAAAUAUUUGUAAUAUUGCCAUUAUUGCUUUCUGUAGCAAUUACUGCUUUUGUUUCAACAGAUAAAGAAAAUAAAUCAGAGAUAGAUAGAAAAAUCCCAACAGAAGCUGGUAGAAGAAAGGAUCACGUGGGAACUUCUGAAAAUAAACUUUGUACCAAAAAAUU